ACUCCUAAAAGAUAGUGCAAGGAAGAAAGCGCAAAAGAGCCGAAAAAGAAAAGAAAAGAAAAGCUCAAAAAGGAAAACCUCAUGUUGCAUUAGGAUGAGAAUAAGGAGGAAAUUGACAGAAGAACUAACCACUAUCCUUAGAAAGGUUGCUGACAAGUUCAUAAAUUCCUUCUUUUCCCAAAGUAUCCUUCAGAUACAUAGCAGCAGAGACAACCUCCUCAGGAGAAGGAAAGGGCACAAAUUUCGGCCAACUAAGGCUCCCAAGUGAUGAAUUCAAUCACACAUAGAACGUGAAUGGAUAACAGCAUUUGGGAACCUUGUGGGUAUGUGAGUAGUGGUUAUUUCAUGGAAUGUAAAACCAUUUCAUACAUAGCUACAAAGAAAGUGAAAUAGGAUUUGGAAACUCUUGUAAGUGGUAGAUUUUUUUUUUUACUGUCUUGUGAGUGGUAGAUG
Molecule: long non-coding RNA, 453 nt
Organism: Cicer arietinum (chickpea)
Lineage: Eukaryota; Viridiplantae; Streptophyta; Magnoliopsida; Fabales; Fabaceae
Source: RefSeq, a predicted model, not a curated record